UACAGAUAUCAAGAGCAGGAUUAAAUUCCUCUCCAACCUGCCCUCUCUGGCAAGGUGGAAAAAUGAUAUGGCUUUCAGCAACUAAAGGAGGAAAAAU
RNAcentral lists this non-coding RNA (97 nucleotides) under unclassified sequences. RNAcentral describes it as "SAM-I-IV sequence". It matches the Rfam family "SAM-I/IV (S-adenosyl methionine) riboswitch aptamer". From Rfam's summary of the family: It is found upstream of a number of genes which code for proteins involved in methionine or cysteine biosynthesis. It has been found mostly in the order Actinomycetales. The record is from Rfam by way of RNAcentral.